This 254-nucleotide ribosomal RNA is filed under the name uncultured bacterium. Its description in RNAcentral is "partial 16S ribosomal RNA". It matches the Rfam family "Bacterial small subunit ribosomal RNA", at positions 524 to 776 of the family's 1533-position model. The record is from RNAcentral.
UACGAACCGUGCGAACGUUAUUCGGAAUCACUGGGCUUAAAGCGCGUGUAGGCGGGCCGCCACGUCGGCUGCUGAAAUCCCCCGGCUCAACCGGGGAACGGGCACCGAUACGAGCGGCCUGGAGGGGGGUAGGGGGACCUGGAACUUCCGGUGGAGCGGUGAAAUGCGUUGAGAUCGGAAGGAACGCCCGUGGCGAAAGCGAGGUCCUGGACCCUUUCUGACGCUGAGACGCGAAAGCCAGGGGAGCAAACGGG